GGAGGACAUGUCAAAUAUGGUUAUGCCAGGUUUGGGCUGGAUAUUUCUGUUUGCCAUUGUCGCCCUAGGUGUCUCCAUCCUGGGAAUCUAUGCUGCAUGUUCUGAGAAGGUCCACAUGCUCACAAUAUUCGCAGGCCUCAUGGGGAUUGGAAUGAUCAUCAUGAUGAUCUUUGGCAUCAUUGCAGCUGUUGAAAGAAACCAGUUCAAAUGCUGCAGAAUAGUGAAUGCUAAGGACUGGCACGACCAAAACCCUGAUUCUUGUGAAUGCAGGUCUUCAAGAGGAUAUGAAUGCACAUCAAAACCUCAGUCCUGUAGGGAGUUCGUCCAAACCGAGAUCACUAUGGGCUUCUGCUUUGGAUUUGCUGUCAUAGCACUGCUGGGCCUGCUCAUUACCUUCUUCAUGAUUUAUCAGGUCAAACAUAAUGACACAUUGUCAUGAGGAGCUACUGAAGUGAAGCACCAUACACUCUGACUUUAACCUUUGCACUGAGUUAGGCUGUAACAAAUUGACUCAGAGGUCAGGACAUGACGGUGUUUUUUUAAAAUUUUGUUUUAUGAAAAAAAAGUAAUAUUUGCUUUUAUAGAGAAGGAGAAGCAGGAGAUGUAUGGCACUGUGGCAUGCUGCAGGACCUUUUACUUGCAGCUGUUUUAUGUACAACAUAAAUAGCAAAACAUUUAUUUUUUCAAAGGCCUCAUAUCACUUUUAUGUUAUUUUACGUUACGUAGUAUUUUAGUAAUCCUAUGCAGAAACAGUUGAGAAAAUAUACUGAAAUCUUUUGUCAUUUGUGGAGACUGAAGUUGUUGAGGAUAGUUUUGUCAUUUGUGGAGACUGAAGUUGUUGAGGAUAGUAGAUUUUAUUGGUUAAAGUAAAAAAAAAAGAAAUAAAGAAGAAAACAACUAAGGUCAAAACUUGAAUUGAAUUCCAGAAACAUCCAGUUAAAUAUCUGGAUGGCGUCAAACUGGAAAAAAAAUUAAGUUUUUUUCAAGUAUGACAUUAAAGCAUUUUUAAGUGUGCUAUAAUGACCAUAGGCUCAUGGACAUGAUUCAUGCACCACAUGACAUUAAGUAUUCUCUUACUUUAAAUCUUAUUGGAGGUAAAUUUCUAGCACUAUGGUAGUGUAUGAAACAAAAAAAUUGUCUUAGUUACAAGCUAGCUAACUUCUUUAUUAACUGUCAAGUUUAUUGUUUAUUUAAUAAUCUUAAUUAUUAUUAUGUUCAAAUUAAAG
Long non-coding RNA from Oreochromis aureus, 1226 nucleotides. NCBI's taxonomy places the organism in Eukaryota, Metazoa, Chordata, Actinopteri, Cichliformes, Cichlidae. The record is from Ensembl.